CAAGGUCAUCUUCGGUCUCACGUAGUGUGCUCAAGGCUCAUUUGGAUAAACGUGCUUGGUGCCACGCCUGGCUGACUUCUGUACCCUGACUACCUUGUACAUGCUCAUCUUUCUUUCACACCAACAACCACCCAGUCAGCAUCUGAGCGUUUCUAGGUGGUGGGUGACAGCCCCGUGCCAUGCACACGGAUCUGCACAGGACCGCACAGCCUGAUGGAUGACGCCGGUGUACAUUCUGAGACUUUAAGCAACUAGGGUAUUUGGUGCGACACAGCUGUGUGAUGGCCUGUCCUCCAUGUGUCUCACUCAGGGAGAUGCUCUGGGGAUGAGCAACUGACUAGGAUUUUGCCCUGCUCUGCCCUGUUACCCUGCCAUGAGCCUUCAUACUUACCUACUGACCGGAGAGAAAGUGUCCAUGAGCGCAAAGCCAAGCUCUCCACGGUUCAGGGUCUUAGGUAGCCCAGGUAGACUUCAAACUCACUAUGUAGCUGAACUCCGGAGGUUCAUGGCUUCACUUCUGAAGUGCCAGGAUGAGAUGUGUGUGCAGCUAUGCUCAGCUUGUGCAGAGCUGUGGAUGCUCGGACAUCUGAUAUUCCACCCCUGUGAAAGGAUUGUUCGAUCCCCAAUGGGGCCGAGACCCACAGGUUGGGAACUGCUGAUCUCGAACCACCCUUGAGUCGAACCUCUAGGUACAGAAGUGCGACAUUAUCUAGAUCAGUCUUUGUCUCUUUCUGGCGAGUCUCUGCCAGUGCUGCUGUCGCUGGGUCUGUUGCCAUCAUCCUUCCUUGACAUCAGAACCCGGUUUCUUUGGACAUUUAGCCUGGGCUGAAGAGCCAUGACUAUCCAAGAAUCCUCCUUGCCUUUGGCACCAGGUUGGGAUGGGUGAGGCAUGUGACUUCAUGGACUGAGCAGGCCCGGCAUCCUCACUUUCUACAGUGUGAAGACAGCCACUGUUGGAACAUCUAGCCUUUAUCGUGCAAGCUAAUUGAAUAAAGUCCCAUUUUCAUGUGCA
Molecule: long non-coding RNA, 1012 nt
Organism: Mastomys coucha (southern multimammate mouse)
Lineage: Eukaryota; Metazoa; Chordata; Mammalia; Rodentia; Muridae
Exons: 6
Source: RefSeq, a predicted model, not a curated record